AUUCAUUUAGUAUAAAAAGUAUAUUUAACUUCCAAUUAAAUGGUUUAAAUUUUUAAAAUGAAUA
Molecule: transfer RNA, 64 nt
Filed under: unidentified
Description: Idiocerus herrichii tRNA-Gly
Source: RNAcentral